UUUUGCUUUAUUCUUUCGUAUUAAAAGCUUAAGAUGUCAUGUCUAAAAAAUCAAGAAAUAUAAAAAACUUAUUUAAUUACAAAGAUCUACACUAAUCCCAACUAAUUUAGUGUAAUAACAUAGAAGAUAUCAAAACUUCAAAAAAUUGGAGUAAUUACUUGAAUGAAUUCAGGCCUCCUUGAGCUUCACGGAAAUGAUGGAGAUCUUCAACGUGUAUGAAGAGAAACAAAAGAGAAAGUGUUGCUUGGGAUAGCCUAGUGGUUGGGGUGGUUGCCUCUUGUCCAAGAGGUCACAGGUUCGAGUACUCUCGCCCACAAUAAUCACUAGGUGGGUGUGUGUGAUUUGUAUUAUUUAUAAUGUAAUUUCAUCAAAAAAAAAAAGAGAAGAGAAAGUGUUGCGAAAGGGAGAUAAAUAGUGUGAAAGGAAAAAAAUAG
This 434-nucleotide long non-coding RNA is filed under the name Salvia miltiorrhiza (redroot sage). Its description in RNAcentral is "long non-coding RNA (SMIL_LNC007702)". The record is from RNAcentral. Lineage: Eukaryota; Viridiplantae; Streptophyta; Magnoliopsida; Lamiales; Lamiaceae.